CGCAGGUGCACAGGAUGUAAACAAAGCAACAUGGCAGCGCAAGGUUCGGAGGAGACGCGUUAUUAGAAAUAAUAAAACUCACUCCAGGUCAGAUUAUAAACCGAGUCCAGGUCAGCUUUUCUGUCUUCUUUUUUAAAUGGAGUCUGUGAGGAAACGUUUGAGUGAGUUCUCACUGGAAGCUCACGACCUGUAUCUGAACCGAACCGUGCCGUACCUGGAGGAGUCACCUGACCCGCUGCACUUCUACCGGGACUGGAUUGGUCCAAACAAACCCUGCAUCAUCCGGAAUGCCCUCAGUCAUUGGCCAGCUCUGUCCAGGUGGACACCAGAGUACCUCAGAGGAAAGGUGGGGUCAAAGGUCAUCAGCGUGGCAGUGACGCCGGACGGCUACGCCGACGCCGUCAGCGGUGAUCGAUUUGUGAUGCCUGAGGAGAGACAGAUGAGUUUGUCUUCUGUUCUGGACAUCAUCGAGGGGAAGGUGCAGCGCUCCGGCGUCUUCUACGUCCAGAAACAAUGCUCCAACCUCCUGGACCAACUGUCCCAGCUCUCCGACGACAUGGAGACGCACGUGUCCUGGAUGACCUCUGCCCUCGGAAAGUUUCCUGAUGCUGUCAACUUCUGGCUCGGAGAAUCAAAGGCUGUCACCUCCAUGCACAAAGAUCACUAUGAGAAUCUUUACUGUGUGAUUUCUGGAGAGAAAAACUUCAUCCUGCUGCCACCCACAGACCGACCCUUCAUCCCCUAUGUAUGUGUGUGUCAGGUGUGUAUCAGCCAGCCGUUUACCGUCAGCGAGACGACGGUGAGUUCGAGGUCGUGGAUCAGAGCGACGGUGAAAAGGUACCGUGGAUCCCUCUGGACCCUCUGGACCCAGACCUGGAGCGGUACCCUCAGUACCAGAGGGCGCGGCCGCUGCACUGCAGCGUGAAGGCCGGCGAGAUGCUCUACCUGCCGUCGCUGUGGUUCCAUCACGUCCGACAGACGCACGGCUGCAUCGCAGUGAACUUCUGGUACGACAUGGACUACGAUAUCAAGUACAACUACUUCCAGCUGCUGGAGUCGCUGUGUGACAUCACUGCAUGACAUCAUCAACAUGAGAGACAACACAUCCGUGGUGACGUGAACAUAUUAAACAAUUCAAACUAUGA
This is an RNA transcript of Solea solea (common sole), 1145 nucleotides long. It is a transcript of the gene named jumonji domain containing 7, with no coding region annotated. The record is from RefSeq and is a predicted model, not a curated record. The transcript has 9 exons. Lineage: Eukaryota; Metazoa; Chordata; Actinopteri; Pleuronectiformes; Soleidae.